Long non-coding RNA from Hemicordylus capensis (graceful crag lizard), 721 nucleotides. RefSeq lists it as uncharacterized. The record is from RefSeq and is a predicted model, not a curated record. The transcript is spliced from 2 exons. NCBI's taxonomy places the organism in Eukaryota, Metazoa, Chordata, Lepidosauria, Squamata, Cordylidae.
AGUAGGCAGGUGAUGUUCCAACCAGAAGCAGAUGGCAUGAUCCAAAACAGUGGUGGUGGUCAGGUUCCACUGCAGGCAGGGAUCCAAGAGGCAGAGGCAGAUGGUGUGAUCUAAGAAGGGCUGGUGGUCAGGUUCCAGAAUGGGCAAUCAGGGAAAGGCAGAUUGUAUGGUCGAAGAUGGGCCGAUGGUCAAGCUCCAGAGCAGGCAGGAAUAAACUGGAAGAUUCCUGGUUUGGUUUUGGUUUUGUUUUAUUCCAACAUCUGCUGUUGAAGAACAAGUGCCCAGGUGGAAUUGUGAAGAAAUAACUUGGGAUAUUUUCACUUAUCUAUGGCAUGGCGUGUACAGAAUUUAGCCCAGGUCAUCUAUAACCUUUAGAAAGGGAGAAAAGUGAUUCUUAAAAGUGGAAGAAAUGAGAACAGUCACGUCCUUGAAAUGGUUUGGUUUUCGUAAGAGAAAUAGGCAAUGUUUCUAAUGUUCAUGUAUGACUGUAACAAUUCCAUUGUGGCAAAUUUCAAAUGUUUGGCUAGAAACUUGGUUAGGAUUAUGCUAGACUUUUGGUGGGCUGUCUGGAACGUGCAUAAAAAAAUCAAUGCAAAAGACUGCUAGAGUUGUUUCCAUAGGAACAGAUAUGGACGUCUCUCCUCUUAUGACUUAUUCAUCCAGUUGAUUGCAUUGUUUAUUCUGACCUUACGUUGUUAUAAAAUGCCAUUUGAAAAAUCUA